Molecule: ribosomal RNA, 372 nt
Filed under: Vibrio cholerae
Lineage: Bacteria; Pseudomonadati; Pseudomonadota; Gammaproteobacteria; Vibrionales; Vibrionaceae
Description: partial 23S ribosomal RNA
Rfam family: Bacterial large subunit ribosomal RNA
Source: RNAcentral
GGUUAAGUGACUAAGCGUACACGGUGGAUGCCUGGGCAGUCAGAGGCGAUGAAGGACGUACUAACUUGCGAUAAGCGCAGAUAAGGCAGUAAGAGCCGUUUGAGUCUGCGAUUUCCGAAUGGGGAAACCCAACUGCAUAAGCAGUUACUGUUAACUGAAUACAUAGGUUAACAGAGCAAACCGGGGGAACUGAAACAUCUAAGUACCCCGAGGAGAAGAAAUCAACCGAGAUUCCGGUAGUAGCGGCGAGCGAACCUGGAUUAGCCCUUAAGCACUCGGUGAAGUAGGUGAACAAGCUGGAAAGCUUGGCGAUACAGGGUGAUAGCCCCGUAACCGACGCUUCAUCGAGCGUGAAAUCGAGUAGGGCGGGAC